Molecule: long non-coding RNA, 1513 nt
Organism: Topomyia yanbarensis
Lineage: Eukaryota; Metazoa; Arthropoda; Insecta; Diptera; Culicidae
Exons: 3
Source: RefSeq, a predicted model, not a curated record
UGUGGUGGCAUUUUUUCUCAAGCCGCAACGUAACAUUAUUUAAUUCGCGGCCUCGAGGAAUACCGGGAAUACCAGGUUCUCGGUGGCAACGCCGGUCAUUGUGAAUUUAAACAGAAUUUCCGCGUACGUAACAGUCAGUACCGAUCUGAACAUUAUGUUCCGGCAACGGUUCCAGGUCUUGUCCUGUCAGUGUAAAGUUCUGUGGCUGCAGUUUGCUCAUGUAUCAAAAAUGGCAAGCCGGAUUAACAAACUAUUCAAAACACUGCAGAUUGGUGUUUCAAAACUUAUCGGGAAAGGCUCCGAGGAAACCAAUGAGGUGCAAAACGCGGCAUACAAUACAUUGGCUCAACUGGCUAUCGUUUGUCCGACUGUGAAUACGAUGUCCAACUCGUUUCUUCCUAUUUGGUCAUCUGUCACAGGAACCGGUCUAAUUGCAUACGCCCGAUAAGAGGCGCCUUUGGUAGGGCUCAGGCGAUUUUCGACUGGAGGAAGCAACCAAAAAUUCCUGGCGAUACCGUACUGACUAAGGGAGAAAAGGACACCGUCAUGAUGACAGAGGACAAUUCGUCCCGCAUUCCAAUCAAAAGUGUUGUAAAGAUUCUGUUCCGUCGAGGUAUUUGUGGAGAAAGUGUUCAGUUGAAGGAAAGGAUGACAACCUAUUUGUUUGGAGUUUCCAAGAAAGAACAUCCAAACUAUGGGUCAACUCUUUUGACAACUGUAAACAACCGACAGAGAAGAAUCAGUCCAAAAAUCUGUUCUCAACUACUCAUGAACCAUAAUGGAUUGUGCUUCCGUGUUUCAAGGGUACGGUUGAAUGUGUUACUAUGAAGUGAGGUUUACUUAUAGUUUCUAUAUUAUCAGAAAAUUUUUGGAUUACCAUCGACUCUGCCUGCUGGUGUCAACACUCAUCCCGAAGAGGAUAAAAAAUGCUCAAAUUGGCAGCCUUCUUGAAGUUAAUUGCCGAAAGCGGUAUUGAGGAUGUUAUUUGGACAGACAACAACCUUAUUAGAAGGGUGGAUUACUGGUAGAAAAGAAAUUACCGAGCUGACCUGUUUUCGAUUUGGUCAGUAUCCCUAUUGGCUAGAGAAAACAAAGAAUUUAUACGUUGGGAUCUUCGCUGAAGGAAAUCUCCGAACCGAUCAGAGCACUGUUUGUGAAUGUAUACUUAUACGAUGUGCUUUUGGUCUUGAAAUGUGACGAGCAGGAGCUGGAGGCGCAAAUCAAGGAGCUGCUGGCUCUGACAAUAAAUCUGGAAAAUCGGGAUCGUUCCAUUAUAGCGGCUCUCAAUAUCAUCAAACAAUGACAAUGGUAAUCGAUGCUUCAAUCGGUCUGUAUCAAAAAUGUUAGUUUCUACCACAAAACUGCCGCACAGCGCGGUGAAGGCACCGAGGAAAUGAAAACUGAUCAAGGUGAUGUAAACACGAAAGCUCCUAUGUUGAAAGUCCAUAGCACUUCUGCAGAGUGGUCAUACCAAAGCUACAAUCCGAGAGGAUGUUACAUUGUUUAGGCUAUC